GAUGAACGCUGGCGGCGUGCCUAAUACAUGCAAGUCGAGCGAACGGACGAGAAGCUUUCUUCUCUGAUGUUAGCGGUGGACGGGUGAGUAACACGUGGAUAUCCUCCCUAUAAUACUGGGAUAACUUCGGGAAUCCUGCGCUAUUACCGGAUAAUCUUUUGAACCGCAUGGUGCAAAAGUGAAAGACGUUCUUGCUGUCCCUUAUAGAUGGAUCCGCGCUGCAUUAGCUAGUUGGUAAGGUAACGGCUUACCAAGGCAACGAUGCGUAGACGACCUGAGAGGGGGAUCGGCGACCCUGGAGCUGGGACACGGUCCAGGCGCCUGAGAGAGGCACCAGAAGGGAACCUUACGCAGUGGGCGAAAAUCUGACGGAGCGAGGGCACGUGAGUGGUGGAGGUCCUCGGAGCGUGAAACCCUGUUAUUGGGUGUGAACAUAUUUGUAAGGGACUGAGCACAAAGUGACGGUACCUAUUCAGAAAGCCACGGCUAACUACGUG
This 497-nucleotide ribosomal RNA is filed under the name uncultured bacterium. Its description in RNAcentral is "partial 16S ribosomal RNA". It matches the Rfam family "Bacterial small subunit ribosomal RNA", at positions 28 to 507 of the family's 1533-position model. The record is from RNAcentral.